RNAcentral lists this ribosomal RNA (207 nucleotides) under uncultured bacterium. Its description in RNAcentral is "partial 16S ribosomal RNA". It matches the Rfam family "Bacterial small subunit ribosomal RNA", at positions 568 to 774 of the family's 1533-position model. The record is from RNAcentral.
CGUGUAGGCGGUUUCGUAAGUCGGAUGUGAAAGCUCCUGGCUCAACUGGGAGAGGCCAUUCGAUACUGCGAGACUUGAGGACGGGAGAGGGACGUGGAAUUCCCGGUGUAGUGGUGGAAUGCGUAGAUAUCGGGAGGAACACCAGUGGCGAAGGCGACGUCCUGGCCCGCACCUGACGCUAAGACGCGAAAGCGUGGGUAGCGAACG